This 301-nucleotide ribosomal RNA is filed under the name uncultured bacterium. RNAcentral's name for it is "partial 16S ribosomal RNA". It matches the Rfam family "Bacterial small subunit ribosomal RNA", at positions 509 to 807 of the family's 1533-position model. The record is from RNAcentral.
CAGCAGCCGCGGUAAUACGAAGGGUGCAAGCGUUAAUCGGAAUUACUGGGCGUAAAGCGUGCGCAGGCGGUUGUGUAAGACAGGUGUGAAAUCCCCGGGCUUAGCCUGGGAACUGCGCUUGUGACUGCACAGCUAGAGUAUGGCAGAGGGGGGUGGAAUUCCACGUGUAGCAGUGAAAUGCGUAGAGAUGUGGAGGAACACCGAUGGCGAAGGCAGCCCCCUGGGCCAAUACUGACGCUCAUGCACGAAAGCGUGGGGAGCAAACAGGAUUAGAUACCCGUGUAGUCCCUGUCUCUUAUAC